This 493-nucleotide ribosomal RNA is filed under the name uncultured bacterium. RNAcentral describes it as "partial 16S ribosomal RNA". It matches the Rfam family "Bacterial small subunit ribosomal RNA", at positions 28 to 506 of the family's 1533-position model. The record is from RNAcentral.
GACGAACGCUGGCGGCGCGCUUAACACAUGCAAGUCGAACGGAAAGGCCUGCUUUCCCUUGUGGAUUGCGGGUACUCGCGUGGCGAACGGGUGAGUAACACGUGAGUGAUCUGCCCCCAACUUGGGUAUAAGCCUGGGAAACUGGGUCUAAUUCCCGAUAGGACUGCAGGGUGGUGCCUGUGGUGGAAAACGAUUUUCUAGUGGUUGGGGAUGAGCUCGCGGCCUAUCAGCUUGUUGGUGGGGUAAUGGCCUACCAAGGCGGCGACGGGUAGCCGGCCUGGGAGGGUGGACGGCCACAUUGGGACUGAGAUACGGCCCAGACUCCUACGGGAGGCAGCAGUGGGGAAUAUUGCACAAUGGGCGGAAGCCUGAUGCAGCGACGCCGCGUGGGGGAUGACGGCCUUCGGGUUGUAAACUCCUUUCGACCGCGAGGAAGCCACCUGGUUGGAAGGGUGGUGACGGUAGUGGUAGAAGAAGCACCGGCUAACUACGU